Molecule: long non-coding RNA, 495 nt
Organism: Larimichthys crocea (large yellow croaker)
Lineage: Eukaryota; Metazoa; Chordata; Actinopteri; Sciaenidae
Exons: 2
Source: RefSeq, a predicted model, not a curated record
CGGCUGUGUGUGCUGUGGACUGCGGGGACGGUGUGCAUGUGUUGUGCUGCUUUCAGGUACAGUUGGGAAACGUCGGAGCCCUAUGAAGAAAAAAGAAAUUGGAUUUUAAAAGGUCUGAUGCAGCAGGUCCUCUUCCAUGAAGUGUGCCAUGUUGAACCGCUAUGAUUCUACAGUAGCCCAGGAGGGAUAUUUUGCUUUGAUAUUUCACAGCCACUGUAACUUUUCCUUCACAUUUGGUGGGUGAGUGGUGAGGUUGUAAUCCAUAACCACACUGCCACUAUAUCUUACACACUGUACCUUUAAUUCUGUAGUGUGUUUUAUUCAAAAAUUUACUUUAAUUAUUGAAUGUUUUAUCAACUUAUUUUCUAUUUGUGGUUUAGCAUAGUCUUUUCUUUUCCUUGUCUUAAAGUACAAAUUCACAUCCCUGAAUGUUCAUGCUUGACCUCUUUGAAAUUGAGUUGUUUGACAGGAAAUAAAAUCAUAAUUCAGUCUCUA